AUACGUAGGGUGCGAGCGUUGUCCGGAAUUACUGGGCGUAAAGAGCUCGUAGGUGGUUUUUCGCGUCGUCUGUGAAAUUCCUGGGCUUAACUCCGGGCGUGCAGGCGAUACGGGCAUAACUUGAGUACUGUAGGGGAGACUGGAAUUCCUGGUGUAGCGGUGAAAUGCGCAGAUAUCAGGAGGAACACCGGUGGCGAAGGCGGGUCUCUGGGCAGUAACUGACGCUGAGGAGCGAAAGCAUGGGUAGCGAACAGGAUUAGAUACCCUGGUAGUCCAUGCCGUAAACGGUGGGCGCUAGGUGUAGGGGUCUUCCACGACUUCUGUGCCGUAGCUAACGCAUUAAGCGCCCCGCCUGGGGAGUACGGCCGCAAGGCUAAAACUCAAAUGAAUUGACGGG
This 397-nucleotide ribosomal RNA is filed under the name uncultured bacterium. RNAcentral's name for it is "partial 16S ribosomal RNA". It matches the Rfam family "Bacterial small subunit ribosomal RNA", at positions 523 to 917 of the family's 1533-position model. The record is from RNAcentral.